Molecule: long non-coding RNA, 2277 nt
Organism: Sinocyclocheilus grahami
Lineage: Eukaryota; Metazoa; Chordata; Actinopteri; Cypriniformes; Cyprinidae
Source: Ensembl
CCCAGCGACUUAACACUGCUUUUGUGCUGCAGGGACACAAAUAUGGUGUCAUGAGGACAAUGGGGGGGUGUUGACACCAAUGCAAGCGUCAAUGCACAUUCAUGUCCAUUAAUAUGUGAAUCAGUUGCAUUUCCACAGAGGAACCUCAGAUCAAUUUAUUUUUAAUAAUAAUAAAUAUAUUUAUUUAGUAUGGCAGUAUGUAUGCAUGUAUUUAUUCUCUUUUUUUCUUAGAUGGCAAAAAAAACGUAUAUGAAUAAUAAAAGCAGAGAGGGCAGUCUGAGAAUUCAGACUUAGUGUUUGCAAGUCUUUUGCAUUUUUCAUUAAAAGAAGCAUUUUUCGUUAGUUGGGCUACACUGGUUGCACUGUGUGAUUUUGAUUUUCUAUAAGGACUGGUUCAUAAGAUUCUUUCUUUAUGAAUAAUACAAAGUCAUAGAAGUACAUUUAUUACCAUUUUUUUGCAGUACAUUGUCUUUUUAUCUCAUCACAUUGAAGCUACGAAACACUGCUUACAUUUACAUUUUAUAUAUUGUAAUAUCAUUACUCGAUUGCACCCCCCAUGCCACCCCAGUAGAUCCACUCCUGAAAACACACUAAUGCAUAAAUACAGUUUAAGUGUCAAAACGUCUCUCAAACACUAAUUUUCUCUCCCUCAGACGGAUCAUCCUCAUCGUGCUGAUGUAUAUGACCUGUUCCCAGGAACAUUUCAGACCAUAGAGAUGACUGUAGGAAGUCCUGGACAGUGGCUGCUUCACUGCCAUGUGACCGAUCACAUCCAUGCGGGCAUGGAGACGCUUUUCACUGUUCAUCCGAGAGGGUCAUCAGGUUCAUCAAGGAGUGAUGAGGAAUAUCCAGACAGUGGUAAAUAAACAUUUAUAUUCACUGCUUUGUUUAUAUUCUUAUAUGUUCAUACACAUUGUGAAAACUGUUUUGUUUUUUUCCCCAGCCUUCGGUCAUUUUGGAAACCUGUCUACUCUGAUGUUGUGUCUCCUUGGAUUGGUCCUGUCACAAUUUGUAGCACACUGAAAAAAGAUCCAAGUGACCAUGAGCCCGAUAGAACUGAUAUUUAUUGCUGUGACACUGAUGCUCACUACUUGGUUACCUCAUCUAGUAUUCUCACUGUAUAGCUGUUAGGGAAACUGUUCAGCUGUUGAGGGAAACAGCUAUUACAUAAGAUAUAAAGAUUAGUCAUUCAAUUUUGAUUUAACAUGCAAGGAAUGAUUCAUAUAAUUGCUUCAGUUAAUAGAAUCAAAGCUUAAAGAAGAAUGCACUUUACUCCCCUGCACUGCAUGUUUAUUAGGGCUCUCUGAUUGGAAGUGAGCAUCCCGAUGUGCUAGAGCAGAGCCCUUGAAAUGGGGACUUUGGAGGGAGCGGGGCUCUUGCACUGAAGGGAGCAAUGAAAGACAACAUAUUUUCUUCAUUAUCUUCACCUAGAAUGUUAGCAUGACUACAGUAUCCAUAAGCACAAUGCAUCAGCUGUACUUGCAGUAGAAUUAUACUAUGUCAGAUGCUUUCGAUUCCCAUGAAUGCACUAAUGGUGGCCACAACUGCCUCUGCUAUCUUAGUAGUGACCGAGUAAGAGUAAGUUGAGUGAUGAGUGUGUGUUACUUUCUUACUCCAUAAUUUGUUUUGUAUGGAUGGUUGCACAGAUGUCCUGGUUUUCAAUUGUUGUUUUUUAUGUGAUUUAAGAUUGCUGUGACAUUUCUAUUUCUGAUUUGGAAUAUUUAUAAUCUUAGUUGUUCACUGUUUUUCUGAUGAACGGCGGUUCAUGUUCUGGAACUGAAUUGCAAAGUUAAGAACAAAAAUGAAUAAAAUGAGCUUAACUGUGAAAGAUAACAAAAUACAAGCAUCAAAUGGUAAUAUAUUCUGAGUUUUGUAGUCCAGUAAUAAGAAUCUAUGUGUUCAUAUUUAUGUUAUGUCUUUGUACGCAGCACGACGAACAAAAAUCAGGGAGGCCAAAUUCAAUUGUUAUGGGUUCCAGCGCAUGUAGGAGUGAAGGGGAAUGAAAAAGUAGAUCAGGCGUUGAAGAAGGAAAACGUAGAAAUGAAAAUAAGAAUCAGUAAAGCAGAAGUGAGAAGCAUAAUCUGGGGAAACAAUAAACCAAAUGUGGCAAGAGUUGAGGGAUAAAGAGGGAAAAGGGAGACAUCUAUUUCAAAUUGAAAAGAGUAUUAAAGUAAGUAAGGUAGGAGUUGGGAACAGGAAAGGGAAAACUUAAUAAGAUGGAUGGCAACCGAAGAAUUGAAGAAAUAGGGAUAGAAAAUAUUACGCUUAAAACUCUGU